CAGUGCACUGUCUUGAACUCCAACAUCAAAGUGUUUCUUCGACCUCGCCUCCAUCCGAACACCCAUCUCUUUCAGGACCAUAAGCAACUCUGCUCCUCGUCUCCCACGCUGUGGACAGGGAUCCCUGCUCCUGGGCUCUUCCACCUUUCGUGAACUGAGCCCCCUUCUGAAGUAAGGCAUGGGCACCCCGAAUGGAAAUGGCUGGAUUAAUGCGCAUGCAUGUCCAUACUGGUGCAGGGCACCUGCUUUUCUGGGACAAUUGCCAUCUGGAAUCAGACGCCUUCCUCAUUGUGUGCCUAUUUCUGGACAAAGAAAAGGAGAAUUGGAUGAGAAGCAGGCCUCCUCUCCCACAUCCUCCAGCCGCCUGGCAGGCCCAACUAAGACACCUGCUCCAGCUCAGGUGGUUUACGUGGCUCUAGGCCUUGGGUGCUGCCCUGCCUGCUCUGCUGAUGGCUGCCUACCGCCCCCCACCACCACCAGAGCAGCAGAGUUCCCUUCAGUAGCUUUCAGGGACUGGAAGGAAAGUGGGACGCCUCUCCCCGCAGCCACCGAGUUGAUGGCGACUUGUUACAGCAGCCACAGGGAACAAAUACAGCAACUGACCAAGGCAAGACUCUUCUGUUGCAAGCAAGAGAAAUCAUCUUGGGCUGACUUUAGCAGGAAAGCAACUCACAGGACAUUGAUUGGAGGGUGCAAAGCAUCUAGGAUGUUCAAAAGGACAGGGCCGGGCAUCUGGACAGAUGGCCCCACUGGUGCUGUUGUGAGGGAAGCUGCACUAGAAUGGUAA
This 787-nucleotide long non-coding RNA is filed under the name Papio anubis (olive baboon). RNAcentral describes it as "lncRNA (ENSPANG00000042678.1)". The record is from RNAcentral. Lineage: Eukaryota; Metazoa; Chordata; Mammalia; Primates; Cercopithecidae.